This 63-nucleotide transfer RNA is filed under the name Argestina pomena. RNAcentral describes it as "tRNA-Ala". It matches the Rfam family "tRNA". Rfam says of the family: Transfer RNA (tRNA) molecules are approximately 80 nucleotides in length. Their secondary structure includes four short double-helical elements and three loops (D, anti-codon, and T loops). Further hydrogen bonds mediate the characteristic L-shaped molecular structure. tRNAs have two regions of fundamental functional importance: the anti-codon, which is responsible for specific mRNA codon recognition, and the 3' end, to which the tRNAs corresponding amino acid is attached (by aminoacyl-tRNA synthetases). tRNAs cope with the degeneracy of the genetic code in two manners: having more than one tRNA (with a specific anti-codon) for a particular amino acid; and 'wobble' base-pairing, i.e. permitting non-standard base-pairing at the 3rd anti-codon position. Lineage: Eukaryota; Metazoa; Arthropoda; Insecta; Lepidoptera; Nymphalidae. The record is from RNAcentral.
AGGAUUAUAGUUUAUCUAAAACAUUUGAUUUGCAAUCAAAAAAUAUUGUAUACAAUUUAUCUU